This is an unclassified non-coding RNA of Ochotona princeps (American pika), 311 nucleotides long. Its record names the gene 7SK. It matches the Rfam family "7SK RNA". From Rfam's summary of the family: 7SK was discovered as an abundant small nuclear RNA in the mid-70s but a possible function has only recently been suggested. Two independent studies have found that 7SK RNA binds the CDK9/cyclin T complex (known as elongation factor P-TEFb). Lineage: Eukaryota; Metazoa; Chordata; Mammalia; Lagomorpha; Ochotonidae. The record is from Ensembl.
GGAUGUGAGAGCGAACUGGCUGUGACAUUUGUCACCCCAUUGAUCGCCAGGGUUGAUUCGGCUGAUCUGGCUGGCUAGGUGGGUGUCCCCUUCCUCCCUCACCACUCCAUGAGCGUCCCUCCCGAAGCUGCACGCUCGGUCGAAGAGGACGACCAUCCCCACUAGAGGAGGACCGGUCUUCACUCAAGGGUAUACAAGUAGCUGCACUUGCCUGCUAGAACCUCCAAACAAGCUCUCAAGGUCCAGUUCUCAGAACUCCACUUCGAUACCUUUACUGGCUUUUUUAAAGGAAUGCAAAUGUGCAGUUACAU